RNAcentral lists this ribosomal RNA (253 nucleotides) under uncultured bacterium. RNAcentral's name for it is "partial 16S ribosomal RNA". It matches the Rfam family "Bacterial small subunit ribosomal RNA", at positions 524 to 776 of the family's 1533-position model. The record is from RNAcentral.
UACGUAGGGACCGAGCGUUGUCCGGAAUCAUUGGGCGUAAAGAGCUCGUAGGCGGUCUGUCGCGUCUGCUGUGAAAACUCAGGGCUUAACCCUGAGCUUGCAGUGGGUACGGGCAGACUAGAGUGCGGUAGGGGAGACUGGAAUUCCUGGUGUAGCGGUGAAAUGCGCAGAUAUCAGGAGGAACACCGGUGGCGAAGGCGGGUCUCUGGGCCGUAACUGACGCUGAGGAGCGAAAGCAUGGGGAGCGAACAGG